UACGUAGGGGGCAAGCGUUGUCCGGAAUCAUUGGGCGUAAAGCGCGUGUAGGCGGCUCGGAAAGUCUGGUGUGAAAUCCUGCGGCUCAACUGCAGGCGGUCACUGGAUACUGUCGAGCUUGAGUCCGGAAGAGGAGUGUGGAAUUCCUGGUGUAGCGGUGGAAUGCGCAGAUAUCAGGAGGAACACCAAUGGCGAAGGCAGCACUCUGGUACGUGACUGACGCUGAGACGCGAAAGCGUGGGGAGCAAACAGG
RNAcentral lists this ribosomal RNA (253 nucleotides) under uncultured bacterium. RNAcentral describes it as "partial 16S ribosomal RNA". It matches the Rfam family "Bacterial small subunit ribosomal RNA", at positions 524 to 776 of the family's 1533-position model. The record is from RNAcentral.